GACGAACGCUGGCGGCGUGCUUAACACAUGCAAGUCGAACGGAAAGGCCCUGCUUUUGUGGGGUGCUCGAGUGGCGAACGGGUGAGUAACACGUGAGUAACCUGCCCUUGACUUUGGGAUAACUUCAGGAAACUGGGGCUAAUACCGGAUAGGAGCUCCUGCUGCAUGGUGGGUGUUGGAAAGUUUCGGCGGUUGGGGAUGGACUCGCGGCUUAUCAGCUUGUUGGUGGGGUAGUGGCUUACCAAGGCUUUGACGGGUAACCGGCCUGAGAGGGUGACCGGCCACAUUGGGACUGAGAUACGGCCCAGACUCCUACGGGAGGCAGCAGUGGGGAAUAUUGCACAAUGGGCGGAAGCCUGAUGCAGCAACGCCGCGUGCGGGAUGACGGCCUUCGGGUUGUAAACCGCUUUCGCCUGUGACGAAGCGUGAGUGACGGUAAUGGGUAAAGAAGCACCGGCUAACUACGUG
This 468-nucleotide ribosomal RNA is filed under the name uncultured bacterium. RNAcentral describes it as "partial 16S ribosomal RNA". It matches the Rfam family "Bacterial small subunit ribosomal RNA", at positions 28 to 507 of the family's 1533-position model. The record is from RNAcentral.